AUCUUCGGAUGUGUAUAAAGUGGCGAACGGCUGAGUAACACGUGGGCAACCUGCCCUUUGCACUGGGAUAGCCUCGGGAAACCGAGGUUAAUACCGGAUACUCCAUAUUUGUCGCAUGGCGAAUAUGGGAAAGCUCCGGCGGCAAAGGAUGGGCCCGCGGCCUGUUAGCUAGUUGGUAGGGUAGUGGCCUACCAAGGCAAUGAUGGGUAGCCGGGUUGAGAGACCGACCGGCCAGAUUGGGACUGAGACACGGCCCAGACUCCUACGGGAGGCAGCAGUGGGGAAUCUUGCACAAUGGGCGAAAGCCUGAUGCAGCGACGCCGCGUGCGGGAUGAAGGCCUUCGGGUUGUAAACCGCUUUCAGCAGGGACGAGGCCGCAAGGUGACGGUACCUGCAGAAGAAGCCCCGGCUAACUACGUGCCAGCAGCCGCGGUAAUACGUAGGGGGCAAGCGUUAUCCGGAUUCAUUGGGCGUAAAGCGCGCGUAGGCGGUCUGUUAGGUCAGGAGUUAAAUCUGGGGGCUCAACCCCUAUCCGCUCCUGAUACCGGCAGGCUUGAGUCUGGUAGGGGAAGAUGGAAUUCCAAGUGUAGCGGUGAAAUGCGCAGAUAUUUGGAAGAACACCGGUGGCGAAGGCGGUCUUCUGGGCCAUGACUGACGCUGAGGCGCGAAAGCUAGGGGAGCGAACAGGAUUAGAUACCCUGGUAGUCCUAGCUGUAAACGAUGGACACUAGGUGUGGGGAGAUUAUACUUUCCGUGCCGC
Molecule: ribosomal RNA, 760 nt
Filed under: uncultured bacterium
Lineage: Bacteria
Description: bacterial SSU rRNA
Rfam family: Bacterial small subunit ribosomal RNA
Source: RNAcentral